GGGAUCCUCCCAACUCAGCCUCCCAAGUAGGUGAAACUACAGGAACCUGACCCAGUUAGCAGAGCUCCAGGGACCCCAGCUGCCUCUGAACGGCUCCUUCCAGAAGACCGAGGACCUUCCCUCCUGCGCCAGAAGGCUGUGACCUGCACAGGUGAGUCUGCGUCCUCAUGGCGCCUCUCCGCAUAGUAAGUGACGAUGGGCAGACAUCCGAGAAGAAAACCACUGGCGAUGCUGGCUGGAUGGUCUCCCGGGGGGACCACUUGAGAAGGGUGGGGAGCUUAGGAGGGUGAAAGGCUUUUCUAAGGAAGUGAUAGUUGGGUUCCUACUGCCUGAGAAACCAGCUAACAAAGGCCCAGACUGAGGACACAGCAGGUGCACAGGCACAGGAGAAAGAGAUUCAGAUUCAAGGAGUAAACAGGAGGUCUGGGAUUUGCAGAGAGCAGGGGUGGGGUAAGGUGGGAGGUGGGCAGGGGAAGGCUGACAUAGGAGGCUGAUGCCACAGACUGGUGUCAGCAGUGGCAGGAGGCUUUUACAGGGUUUAUGUGGGGAGCAAAUGACACAGCUUAUGUUUAAACAGCCCUCUGGGGACUAGUCCUCUAUGUUCUACCUGGAAACCAGGUGGCGAGGAGUGAGGGUCGAGUGGAGCACAUUUAUGAGGACAUGGGUGGUAUUUUCACUUAUCUGGGGCCCUUCUGAUUUUAAGACACUUAGAGGCGGACAAGAAACAUGACUUUUUACUUGCAUUCAUUAAAUGUGUAAGUUUACCGAAAUGCCUCUGUGACUGAGACAUCAUGCUCGCACAGCAGACGUCACUGACACGAGUGGCAGUUCCAAAAUGUCCUGAGUGCAAGCCAGCACAAAAGGGGCUGAAAAAUCUCAGGGUCGGGAGUCUGCGAGGAUGACACCUCGCGUAUGUCUGCACUUCCCUCGGGCGAGUGGGCGCAGCACUUUGUUUGUAAAAGGAAUAACCUCAGAAUGUUGGUUAAAUAUGGCCUCACUUUGCCAUGGCAACCUCACAGGCGCACAUCUACCGAGGCUAUGCAGGAUUCCUUCCAAAUUGGGAGGGAUUUCUGCCAGGGUACAAGUGGGAUUCUUUCUCUCUCUGCACAGUUAGGAGCACAUGUCCCAGAGAGCUCCAGUACCCACCUCCAAGUGGUCUGACAAGCUACAGUCUAUGCUCUGUGCUGGUUAACAACUUCUCAUGCAAAUUUAAAUGCCCUUAUUUUGUGGAACAGUGUUUUCCUUGGCACGCUCAGAGUUCCACAGCAUUAAUUUUAGGUAUUUUUUUUUAAAACAAAAGGAUAUACACAUUCUACCUUUAAAUAAUGAUACAACAAGUAUUGAGAGAGAUUUCAGCCUCUGCUGUUCCACCUGUUACCCUACCAGACCUUCUCUGGAGUUAGAAAGUUACACAAUAUGUGGAUGUACAAUGUCAGUCCUUUGUCUGUAUUUAUCUUUCCCAAAACAGUGAUUUAUCAGCCUGCAAAUUGAUAUGGUCAAUUCGGGCAAAUGUGAUGGAAGGCGGGUCACCUGCCUACCUGUGACCAAAUAUUGGCAGAGGCAUUUCAUCUUAAAUAACUACUUUUCAGAACUGGCCACAGAUACUCAGAGGCCAGCGUGUCAAAUGUCAGUCACAUUCAGGACUCACCUACAUGGCCCAGGAGAAGGGGGCUGGCAUAAGCCUGCACCAACAAAGUGGGUGGCGCCUAAUACCCAGCGGAUGUGGAUGGGAAGCUCCCAGCACGGGCUCCUGAAGGACCCCGCAGAGGUAGAACUCGGAGCAGUGCCUCUGCCCUGGUGGCACAAUGCUUUUGCUUUGUAUUGAUUUUUUGUUUUUUUCUUCAGACAACACGGAGGACUGAAUAGUUGGAUGGGGAGGAACCUGAAAAGGCUGUCUAGUGAGUCUUCCUCUUGGACUAAGUGAAUUCUUCUUUCUGAGAAACGUAGCCUGGGACCAUGUGGCCCUCUGAUACAGAAGAAUGUUUGUCUGUGGGCACGAACUGUUUCAAGCAUUAACGUGAAAAUCAAUGCAAAAUCUGUUUUCUGGGGCGAGCUUUUCCUUUUGAGAGAACUAUAAUACAGUCAUAAGAUUGCAUGGUGUUCACUGGAAUAGGCACCUUUGAAAUUACCCAAUUUUAAAGUCCCUUAAUUCAAACAAAAAUUCAGGGCAGAAUUACUUUGCCAGCUUGCUUUCUUUAUAUCUGGAAAACUUGGACUCUCUUCCGAGAAGAUAUUUUACGUUGAUUUUUAAAAUACUUCUCUCAAAACAAAUGCCAAUUUCAAAUAAUUCUGAAAUUUUUUAUCUUGACUAUAAUCUAAAAAUUAACAUAUUUUAUCUACCUUCUGCCACUACUCUUACUAAAAUUAAUUCUCAAAAGGCACCCAUUCAAGAUCCCUUUUCUAGGCGUCUUGGAAUAUAUAUACUACAUUAUUAUUAGCUGGCGUCAGCCUGCAAGGUAAUAGAACACCAGAACUUAUUCUUACAAUUACUAUGUGUUGAUUAGAAACAAAAUUAAUUAAAAAAACAAACAAAAAAAGUAACACGGCACCCAAACCUGCCUGGUGCAGGUGCACACUCCCGUUCUGCCUUUUGCUCUUCCUGGCAUUUGGCUGGCUUGGUCAUUUCAUUGUUCUUGAAAUUCCCUCCCCUUGUGGCUGAUGGAUUCACUUGAUAAUUUCCAAGCUGCUCUUUCUAUUCCUUCCUCUGCCAAAUUAAAAUGUUCCCUAGAUUCUGUGCUUGAGCCUCUACUUUCAUCCUUGGCAACUUCAUUCACUGCAUGAAUUUAACUUCUACCUCUAAUUAAACAACUCAUAAAGCUUCA
This is a non-coding RNA of Macaca mulatta (Rhesus monkey), 2822 nucleotides long. The record is from RefSeq and is a predicted model, not a curated record. NCBI's taxonomy places the organism in Eukaryota, Metazoa, Chordata, Mammalia, Primates, Cercopithecidae.